Molecule: transfer RNA, 65 nt
Filed under: Lebbeus groenlandicus
Lineage: Eukaryota; Metazoa; Arthropoda; Malacostraca; Decapoda; Hippolytidae
Description: tRNA-Gly
Rfam family: tRNA
About the family: Transfer RNA (tRNA) molecules are approximately 80 nucleotides in length.
Source: RNAcentral
AUUUUUUUAGUAUAAUUAGUAUUAUUGACUUCCAAUCAAUAGGCCUGGGGUUCCCAGAAAAAAUA